Molecule: non-coding RNA, 28 nt
Filed under: Homo sapiens (human)
Lineage: Eukaryota; Metazoa; Chordata; Mammalia; Primates; Hominidae
Source: RNAcentral
UAGCACGUCUUGGAUGGCCAGAAAAAGU